Carassius auratus (goldfish) is the source of this 3025-nucleotide RNA transcript. It is a transcript of the gene named FERM domain-containing protein 3, with no coding region annotated. The transcript is spliced from 15 exons. NCBI's taxonomy places the organism in Eukaryota, Metazoa, Chordata, Actinopteri, Cypriniformes, Cyprinidae. The record is from RefSeq and is a predicted model, not a curated record.
AUGAAAAUGCUUCGGUUCCGGAGUCCGAGCAUCUCCUCCCUCACACAGGAGGUCCGGUGCACCGUUCGCCUGCUCGACGACUCCGAGAUCGCGUGCAGCAUCCAGAGAGACACUAAAGGACAGUUUCUCUUGGAUCAUGUGUGUAAUCACUACAGCUUGCUGGAGAAGGAUUACUUUGGCAUCAGAUAUGUGGAUCCAGAGAAGCAAAGGCAUUGGUUGGAUCCGAGCAAACCAGUCGUGAAACAGAUGAAAUGUCAGCAGCCGUACACUAUGUGCUUCAGGGUGAAGUUCUACCCUCAGGAGCCGAUCAAGAUCAAGGAAGAGCUGACAAGAUAUCUUCUGUACCUGCAGCUGAAGAGAGAUGUGUACCACGGUAGGCUGUUGUGUCCCUUCGCUGAUGCUGCGUAUCUUGGAGCCUGUAUAGUACAGGCUGAGCUUGGGGACUACGAUCCUGAGGAGCAUCCUGUAGACUACAUCAGUGACUUCAAGCUCUUCCCCAAACAGUCCCUCAAACUAGAGCGCAAGAUCAUGGAGAUCCACCAGAAUGAGCUGAGGGGACAGUGUCCUGCCCUCGCCGAGUUAAAUCUUCUUCAGAGGGCUCACACACUGGACACAUAUGGAGUCGACCCACAUCCCUGCAAGGAUUUCACAGGAUCCACAGCCUUUCUGGGAUUCACUGCAAGAGGGUUUGUGGUUUUCCAGGGAAAUAAGCGGAUCCACCUUUUAAAAUGGGCAGAUGUCAGCAAAUUUAAGUUUGAAGGGAAAACGUUUUAUGUGAUUGGAGUGCAAAGAGAGAAGAAACUGGUUCUGACGUUCCACACCUCCACACCAGCAGCCUGCAAGCACCUGUGGAAAUGUGCCGUGGAAAACCAGGCUUUUUACAAAUGUGCAAAGUCCAGUCAGAUCAAGACUGUGUCCAGCAGUAGUAUAUUUUUCAAGGGAAGCAGAUUUCGCUACAGUGGCCGGGUGGCUAAAGAAGUGAUUGAAGCCAGUUCAAAGAUUCAGAGAGAACCUCCUGUUGUACACAGGUCUCAGUUUGGUCAGAGCAGAAGCUUUACUUCGCUCAGUCAUAAACAGCUGAUAAUGAACAUGGAGCCUCUUCUACCAGCACUGAGCUCCAGCAGGGAAAACAGAGACUCCUCUGCAGACAACGGACUCUCAACUUUGAAAGACUCGGUUCAUCUGUCCCCACUGAAACCAUCGGUCACUCCUGAGGAGGUGGAGAUGGAGGAGAGGGAAAACAACAUUCUGGACAGACACGAAGACGAGGCAGCCAACAGGACGAGAGCGGAUGAGGAAAGGAGAGAGAUACACGUAGACCAAGAAGAUGAAGUGUGCGCGGCUCUCACCAUAUCUGACACAGCGUACAGCCCGUGUGCCAGCAUGGUGCCCACGCCGGUGGAGGAGAGCCAGGGCGACCUAGACCUGCUGUUCCAGAGUCCCGCCCGCCUGCUGAAGGAGCUGCACGCCGACCCAGAGAUGCAGCUGGAGCUCCAGGCCGAGAGGGAGAGGGAAGUGGCCAGAGUGGCAUUGGGUCAGUCGCUGUGCCUCCCGUCGAGUGGACGGCAGCAGAUGCAAGCCUGUCUGCGCAGUGCCGCCCGUCUGGUGGUGAUGGCCACGGGUCUCCUCAUGAUUCUGCUUCCGCUCCUGCUCGUGCUGCUGGAGUCGGACCUGGACGUCUCGUUCUUGCAUGACAUCCGACAGACGCCCGAGUUUGAGCAGUUCCACUACGAGUACUACUGCCCCCUGCGUCGCUGGUUCCUCUGCAAACUGGAACUCAUGAUGGAGCAGCUCUGGGGCGACUGAGGGUCAGUGGGAAAUACAGGGAACAGGGGGCAGGGAUAUAAUGGACAGGACAGUACAGAUUUUCAGAUGUCAUGAGCAGAUGUGAUAGCAGGUUGCAAGUACAUUUGAGAGGCUCUUAACUGACCACUUCAGUCACACAACAUACAGUACAUUAACACAAAAUACAUUUAAAGAAGAUGCACGAAGCCGCCACAAAUCCAAAUAUGUGUCAAUAUCAUUUUGUCGAAGUCAAAUGAUUGAACGUAUUCAAACAUUGAAAGUGCAGCUAAAUUUUAUUUACAAACCAUUUUCAUUUGGCCCCAAAAAGUUGUAAAUUGAAAACUAGAUUUAAUUUGCACAACUGACUUUUAUUAUUAUUUUAUUAUUAUUUAUUGGUAAUGCGGGCUGUUUUCUAUGGAAGCUUGUUUCUGCCACAAUAUAAAAUAAAUAAAAGGGUAAUUGCAACUUUUUACCUUUUCUGACUUAUUUCUCAUAAUUCUGAGUUCAUAUCUCAUAAUCUUGUCUUCAGAAUUAUGAGAUAUAAACUCAUAAAUUUGAGAAAUCAAUUCUUAAUUACAAGAUACAUACUCUGCAAUUUGAGGAAAAGAGUCUGAAUUGUGAGAUAUAAAAAUAUUUGAGGAAAAUAGUCUAAAUUAUGAGACAUAAACUCGCAAAUUUGAGGAAAAAAAUUUGAAUGGUGAGAUAUAAACCUGAAAAAAUUAGGAAAAUAAGCUAAAUUGUGAGAUAUAAAAAAAAUUGAGGAAAGAGUAUGAAUGGAAAGAUGUAAAAAAAAUUAGAGGAAAGAAUCUGUAGGGUGAGAAAAUUAGAAAUUUGAGGAAAGAGUCUGAAUUGUGAGAUAUAAACUCACAAAUUUGAGGAAAGAGUCUGAUCGGUGAGAUAUAAACUCACAAAUUUGAGGAAAGAGUCUGAUCGGUGAGAUAUAAACCUGCAAAUUUGAGUAAAGAGUCUGAAUUGUGAAAUAUAAACUGACAAAUUUGAGGAAAGAGUCUGAAUUGUGAUAUAUAAACUCACAAAUUUGAGGAAAGAGUCUGAAUUGUGAGAUAUAAACUCACAAAUUUGAGGAAAGAGUCUGAUCGGUGAGAUAUAAAACUGCAAAUUUGAGGAAAGAUUCUGAAUUGUGAAAUAUAAACUCACAAAUUUGAGGAAAGAGUCUGAAUUGUGAGAUAUAAACCUGCAAAUUUGAGGAAAGAGUCUGAAUUGUGAGAUAUAAACUCACAAA